GUUAUAUGGUCAAGCGAAUAAGCGCACACGGUGGAUGCCUAGGCGGUCAGAGGCGAUGAAGGACGUGGUAGCCUGCGAAAAGUGUCGGGGAGCUGGCAACAAGCUUUGAUCCGGCAAUAUCCGAAUGGGGAAACCCACUGCUUCGGCAGUAUCUUGCAGUAAAUUCAUAGCUGCUUGAAGCGAACCCGGUGAACUGAAAUAUCUAAGUAACCGGAGGAAAAGAAAUCAACCGAGAUUCCCUGAGUAGUGACGAGCGAACGGGGAACAGCCCUUAAGCUGGAAUGGCUUUAGAAAAACAAUCUGGAAAGAUUGGCCAUAGAAGGUGAUAGCCCUGUAUUUAAAAGGGCCACUCCAGUGAAGACGAGUAGGGCGGGGCACGUGAAACCCUGUCUGAAUAUGGGGGGACCAUCCUCCAAGGCUAAAUACUCCUGACCGACCGAUAGUGAACCAGUACCGUGAGGGAAAGGCGAAAAGAACCCCGGAGAGGGGAGUGAAAUAGAUCCUGAAACCGUGUGCGUACAAGCAGUAGGAGCUCGCAAGAGUGACUGCGUACCUUUUGUAUAAUGGGUCAGCGACUUACUGUUCGUGGCAAGCUUAACCGUAUAGGGGAGGCGAAGGGAAACCGAGUCUGAUAAGGGCGCAUAGUCGCGGGCAGUAGACCCGAAACCGGGUGAUCUAGUCAUGGCCAGGGUGAAGGUGCCGUAACAGGUACUGGAGGCCCGAACCCACGUCUGUUGCAAAAGACGGGGAUGAGCUGUGAUUAGGAGUGAAAAGCUAAUCGAACCCGGAGAUAGCUGGUUCUCCUCGAAAGCUAUUUAGGUAGCGCCUCGGACGAAUACUACUGGGGGUAGAGCACUGUUAUGGCUAGGGGGUCAUCGCGACUUACCAAACCAUUGCAAACUCCGAAUACCAGUACGUACUAUCCGGGAGACACACGGCGGGUGCUAACGUCCGUCGUGAAAAGGGAAACAACCCAGACCCACAGCUAAGGUCCCAAAUUCACUGCUAAGUGGAAAACGAUGUGGAAAGGCAUAGACAGCCAGGAGGUUGGCUUAGAAGCAGCCACCCUUUAAAGAAAGCGUAAUAGCUCACUGGUCGAGUCGGUCUGCGCGGAAGAUUUAACGGGGCUAAGCAGUGAACCGAAGCUUGGGGUGCGUAAAACUUCGGUUUUAUGCGCGGUAGAGGAGCGUUCCGUAAGCCUGCGAAGGUGGAUUGAGAAGUCUGCUGGAGGUAUCGGAAGUGCGAAUGCUGACAUGAGUAACGAUAAUGCGGGUGAAAAGCCCGCACGCCGAAAGCCCAAGGUUUCCUUGCGCAACGUUAAUCGACGCAGGGUUAGUCGGUCCCUAAGGCGAGGGCGAAAGCCGUAGUCGAUGGGAAGCAGGUUAAUAUUCCUGCACCUCGCGUGAGUGCGAUGGAGGGACGGAGAAGGUUAGGUGUACCGGGCGUUGGUUGUCCCGGGGAAAGGCGGUAGGUUUGGAUCUUUGGCAAAUCCGGGAUCCUUUAAGACCGAGCACCGAGACGAGCCUUUAUGGCGAAGUCACUGAUACCACGCUUCCAGGAAAAGCUCCUAAGCUUCAGCUCACGAAGACCGUACCGUAAACCGACACAGGUGGGUAGGAUGAGAAUUCUCAGGCGCUUGAGAGAACUCGGGUGAAGGAACUAGGCAACAUGGCACCGUAACUUCGGGAGAAGGUGCACCCUUUUUGGUGGCUCAUGCGAGCUAUAGCUGAAGAGGGUCGCAGAAACCAGGCCGCUGCGACUGUUUAUCAAAAACACAGCACUCUGCAAACACGAAAGUGGACGUAUAGGGUGUGACGCCUGCCCGGUGCUGGAAGGUUAAUUGAUGGGGUCAGCCGCAAGGCGAAGCUCUUGAUCGAAGCCCCAGUAAACGGCGGCCGUAACUAUAACGGUCCUAAGGUAGCGAAAUUCCUUGUCGGGUAAGUUCCGACCUGCACGAAUGGCGUAACGACAGCGGCGCUGUCUCCACCCGAGACUCAGUGAAAUUGAAAUCGCUGUGAAGAUGCAGCGUUCCCGUGGCAAGACGGAAAGACCCCGUGAACCUUUACUAUAGCUUUACACUGAACGUUGAGUUCGUCUGUGUAGGAUAGGUGGGAGGCUAUGAAACUGUGGCGCUAGCUGCAGUGGAGCCAACCUUGAAAUACCACCCUGUCGUGCUUGACGUUCUAACCUAGAUCCGUUAUCCGGAUCAGGGACCGUGUAUGGUGGGUAGUUUGACUGGGGCGGUCUCCUCCUAAAGAGUAACGGAGGAGCACGAAGGUACGCUCAGCGCGGUCGGACAUCGCGCACUGUGUGCAAAGGCAUAAGCGUGCUUGACUGCAAGAUCGACGGAUCAAGCAGGUACGAAAGUAGGUCUUAGUGAUCCGGUGGUUCUGUAUGGAAGGGCCAUCGCUCAACGGAUAAAAGGUACUCCGGGGAUAACAGGCUGAUACCGCCCAAGAGUUCAUAUCGACGGCGGUGUUUGGCACCUCGAUGUCGGCUCAUCACAUCCUGGGGCUGUAGUCGGUCCCAAGGGUAUGGCUGUUCGCCAUUUAAAGUGGUACGCGAGCUGGGUUCAGAACGUCGUGAGACAGUUCGGUCCCUAUCUGCCAUGGGCGUUGGAAGUUUGAGAGGGGCUGCUCCUAGUACGAGAGGACCGGAGUGGACGAACCUCUGGUGUUCCGGUUGUCACGCCAGUGGCAUUGCCGGGUAGCUAUGUUCGGAAGCGAUAACCGCUGAAAGCAUCUAAGCGGGAAGCGCGCCUCAAGAUGAGACUUCCCGGGGCACAAGCCCCCUAAAGGAACCAUAUAGACUAUGUGGUUGAUAGGUCAGGUGUGUAAGUACAGCAAUGUAUUGAGCUAACUGAUACUAAUGAUCCGUGCGGCUUGACCAUAUAACCUCA
This 2899-nucleotide ribosomal RNA is filed under the name Xanthomonas campestris pv. raphani. RNAcentral describes it as "bacterial LSU rRNA". It matches the Rfam family "Bacterial large subunit ribosomal RNA". Lineage: Bacteria; Pseudomonadati; Pseudomonadota; Gammaproteobacteria; Lysobacterales; Lysobacteraceae. The record is from RNAcentral.